Molecule: long non-coding RNA, 1520 nt
Organism: Symphalangus syndactylus (siamang)
Lineage: Eukaryota; Metazoa; Chordata; Mammalia; Primates; Hylobatidae
Source: RefSeq, a predicted model, not a curated record
GCAAGGAAAUGCAGCUUUUGAGUUUACGCCAGAAAGCUUUUUCUGCCUUGAAGAAAAAAAAUAUUUCUAACUGUACACUCCAGUUUUUAAUAACCUGAUGUUCUAAGUUAGCAAUUGUUGUCUAUUCUUGUUAAACUUUACAUAAGCAUAUGUGAAAUAAAAAAACUAAGUAAAUAAGCUAUGAUCACAGUAUUAUAUGAAAAAUAAAUGCUCAAGAGAAUUAAUUCAGAUGCCAACACUGCAUAUAACCCAUAUUUAAUUCUCCUCAGAGUUGCCAUAUAAUCUGCUUAUAGUUGACAAAUUCUUGAAAUGUAUAGAUAUUUCAAGAAAAAUUCAGUAGGACUCGAGAGAAUAUUUGAUGGGAUCAUGAGACAAAACUAGAGAGUGCACACAAAUGUACACAACACACACACACACACACACACACACACAGAGUAAGUUAGAUGCCACAGUGUCCUAGAACAUUAACCAACUACUUUAAAACAAGGUAUUCAGGUGACUGUAUGAUAUGGUUUGGCUUCGUCCCCACCCAAAUCUCAUCUUGAAUUGUAGUUUCCAUAAUACCCAAUGUGUCGCGGGAAGGACCCAGUGAAAGGUAAUUGAAUCAUGGUUGAGGUUACCCCAUGCUGCUCCUCUUGUGGCAGUAAGUUCCCAGGAGAGCUGAUGGUUUCAUAAGUUUUAUAAGGGGCUUUUUCCUCUUUUGCUUGGCACUUCUCCUUCUUGCUGCCAUGUGAAUAAGUACAUGUUUGCUCCCCCUUCUGCCAUGAUUGUAAGUUUCCUGAGGCCUCUCCAGCCAUCCUGAACUCUGCCCAGUUCUCCUCCUUCAGUGGAACCAGCCAUUGUUCCUUCCAAGGUUCUUGUGUAUUGCUUCAAAGGUACUCCAUGCACUUGCAAUCACACAUAACACACUUGCAAAGACUUUCAAAAACACCCAGAGAAACUAUUUGGUGUAAGAAGAGAAUACAAUAUUAAGGCAUGAUGAAUACAAAGAAGAUUUCUAUUUUUAAGAGGGAGGUAUUGACUUUCAUCUGCAUCUUGAUUUAAUUUUUGUUCUGGAAAACAAAGAUCUCCAUAGGAAUUAGUAGUGAACCACUAGAAAUACACUGGAUGAAGACCACUAAGCCAGUGCUACUCAAAAUGUGAUUCAUAGCCUGAUACCUGCCUCUGAACAACAGUUACUGGAUUGCAAUAAGGAGAAACAAGCUAUCAAGUUGUGAAUAGCCCUACGGAGGAACCAUAUAACACGGCAGUAAAAUCCGGAGAUAACCUUGAGCAUUUGAGGGCUGCCAAAGCGACAUAAGUGAGCUCGGAAGUGGAUCCUCCCUGAUUUGAGAAGAUUAUACCGCAGGCCGACAUCUUUACUGAAACCUUUUGAGAGACAUCAACCCAGAGAUUGUGGCUGGUUGCACGUGUCCACUGAUUUGGCCUCAAUGCAUUCUACAGCUCUGGGAGCUACUUUGUCCUCAGCUGCUGCAUGCCCCAGUUCUGCCUCUUGGUCUUGACUGUCAAGCCUUAAACAC